RNAcentral lists this unclassified non-coding RNA (332 nucleotides) under soil metagenome. Its description in RNAcentral is "partial contains 5.8S ribosomal RNA, internal transcribed spacer 2, and large subunit ribosomal RNA". The stretch from base 1 to 120 matches the Rfam family "5.8S ribosomal RNA", at positions 35 to 154 of the family's 154-position model. The record is from RNAcentral.
GAUGAAGAACGCAGCAAAAUGCGAUAAGUAAUGUGAAUUGCAGAAUUCAGUGAAUCAUCGAAUCUUUGAACGCACAUUGCGCCCGCCAGUAUUCUGGCGGGCAUGCCUGUUCGAGCGUCAUUUCAACCCUCAAGCACAGCUUGGUGUUGGGACUCGCGUUAAUUCGCGUUCCCCAAAUUGAUUGGCGGUCACGUCGAGCUUCCAUAGCGUAGUAGUAAAACCCUCGUUACUGGUAAUCGUCGCAGCCACGCCGUUAAACCCCAACUUCUGAAUGUUGACCUCGGAUCAGGUAGGAAUACCCGCUGAACUUAAGCAUAUCAAUAAGCGGAGGA